GGGAGAUUUGGAAGCGCUUUCUGGGGCUGCCUCACUUCCUCAAGUCCCGCGGUCACCACGGAGGACCCGCCCAUGCCCGGGGCUUUCAGAACCUCUCUGUUGAUUCCUGUUGGCUGUUUUUCUCCGGCUCGCUGCCUCCCCUCCCCUGCCAACGCUGCCAUCCCCGGGCUCAUUUGCAUUUGUCCCCAGGCGGCACCGAGGACUGGUCAGUGGGUCCUGGUUCGGCUCGUCCGCUCUGUGAGUGGUCACCCCUGGGCCAGCGCUGGCCGGGGGCUCUCGGCUCUGCUGGCCUUCGCCCGUGCCUGCUGACCCAGAAGGACUCAGAGAGGAGGGCGUUAGCAGAAUCCCGGCGAAGAAAGAAGCCCUUCGAGGGAAGAGAUGGAGAAUCCCAGAAUCUCUGCGGCGGGGCUGGAAACAGCGGGAAGAGCUCUGCAUUUGGAGCAUGCGCUCUGCCAGUCACUCUGUUGUGUGGUCCUUCCUAUGCGCUGGAUCUUGGAGCUUAUCACUCCUGAAAAUCUUUUGCCUUUAACACCACGGAAUUCAAUACUUCAAUUUCUGAAGACACUUUCCUAGACUGCUGGUUUCAUAAGAAUGUUUAUAUGAAAUAACAGAUAGCAUGGCCAUGGCCAUGUAGAUUACAGAUGUGUAACAGCUGUGAGCAAUUAACAAAGAUGCAAAGGCAGAAAAUAUUGUCUGAUGUUUAUUUUUAAUAAAGUUUUCAAAUUGUU
Molecule: long non-coding RNA, 728 nt
Organism: Monodelphis domestica (gray short-tailed opossum)
Lineage: Eukaryota; Metazoa; Chordata; Mammalia; Didelphimorphia; Didelphidae
Source: RefSeq, a predicted model, not a curated record